CAUCAAGAGCCCAAAAAAAACGAAAAUAUUUGCGAAAAAAUAGAAGAAAAUUAAAGGGGAAAAGGACUAGAGGAGAGAUGAUCUACAGGAAGUGGUCGCUGUUCUCAUCGACGAUCGUGAUCUGGGGCGGCGUCGGCACCGUUGCCCUAGCCCAAUUCUUCCUCUUUGGCGGCAAGGAGAAGUUUCAGGGAUAUUUGUGUCGUGAGGGGGAGAGGCUUCGCCAGCAGGAUAGAGCUGUAAUGGCUGCAGAAAACCGGGCAAAGGGGGUUUAACUUAUGUCUGAACUUGAACUCUUGUUCGAAGUUUAAUUCAAUGGGAUUUUCAUUUUCUUCUUGGUCAUUGGUGACGUAAUAAUCUCGUCGUAAAAAUAAUUACUGAAUUGUUGGCUGCUCUUUGCUUGUUACAAGCACUCAGUCGUUGGGCAUCAAAGGACCAUGUUUGCAGCAUGCACUGAAACUAAUUCAGAUCAUGAAUUUCUUGGGGUUGUAUCCAAAUUCUCUAAAUCUUUAUUGCAACUAGGAGGUCUCACUGGUUAUAUUGCAGUUUAUUGUGUGUUUUUAAACAUCCUUAUUUCAAUAAUAAUAAGGAGGAUCUUUGAA
This is a long non-coding RNA of Asparagus officinalis (garden asparagus), 599 nucleotides long. RefSeq lists it as uncharacterized. The record is from RefSeq and is a predicted model, not a curated record. NCBI's taxonomy places the organism in Eukaryota, Viridiplantae, Streptophyta, Magnoliopsida, Asparagales, Asparagaceae. The transcript has 2 exons.